UAUUAAAAAUUUCAUCUCUUUUUACGGUUAAAAACUAACAUGAUUGACAGACCACAUAUACCUUAUUUUGACCUACAAGACCAAUUUUUAACCAUAGAAAUAGAUGAAAUUUUUAUCA
Molecule: non-coding RNA, 118 nt
Organism: Gossypium raimondii (Peruvian cotton)
Lineage: Eukaryota; Viridiplantae; Streptophyta; Magnoliopsida; Malvales; Malvaceae
Source: Rfam